RNAcentral lists this ribosomal RNA (253 nucleotides) under uncultured bacterium. Its description in RNAcentral is "partial 16S ribosomal RNA". It matches the Rfam family "Bacterial small subunit ribosomal RNA", at positions 524 to 776 of the family's 1533-position model. The record is from RNAcentral.
UACGGAGGGGGCAAGCGUUGUUCGGAAUUACUGGGCGUAAAGGGCUCGUAGGCGGCCAACUAAGUCAGACGUGAAAUCCCUCGGCUUAACCGGGGAACUGCAUCUGAUACUGGAUGGCUUGAGUUCGGGAGAGGGAUGCGGAAUUCCAGGUGUAGCGGUGAAAUGCGUAGAUAUCGGGAGGAACACCAGUGGCGAAGGCGACUCCCUGGCCUGUUCUUGACGCUGAGGCGCGAAAGCGUGGGGAGCAAACAGG